ACGUAGGGGGCAAGCGUUGUCCGGAAUUACUGGGCGUAAAGCGUGCGCAGGCGGUUUUUUAAGACAGGCGUGAAAUCCCCGGGCUUAACCUGGGAACUGCGCUUGUGACUGGAAGGCUAGAGUACGGCAGAGGGGGGUGGAAUUCCACGUGUAGCAGUGAAAUGCGUAGAGAUGUGGAGGAACACCGAUGGCGAAGGCAGCCCCCUGGGCCGAUACUGACGCUCAUGCACGAAAGCGUGGGGAGCAAACAGGA
This 253-nucleotide ribosomal RNA is filed under the name uncultured prokaryote. Its description in RNAcentral is "partial 16S ribosomal RNA". It matches the Rfam family "Bacterial small subunit ribosomal RNA", at positions 525 to 777 of the family's 1533-position model. The record is from RNAcentral.